GAUAAGAAACUUUUCCAAUGCAGGAACAAGUUGUGCUCAAUGUUUCUCUUCUCGGCUGCCUCUGACGUCCGCAGCUUGUGUGUCAGAUAGGAGAUAAUAACUGUAACAGCUUCAUUGUUAAACUGGGAGAAUAAUGAGACGUUUUCUGAGGAAUUUGAGCUGAAGGUAAAAGUGUAACAAGGCGAGUGUUUGCUGUUCUCCAGGUGUGCUCCCAUGGCUGGAGGCAGAGGAGAGGAGGACUGCUGAGUGAGCACAGACGACUGCUAAACAUCUUCAAGGUCUUUGUGAGGCAUAAAUGGGCAACAGGAGGUGCCUUCCCAGAGGAGACUCGUCUGGAUGCUCAGGGGUUUGCAGGUUUCGGCAUGUUGCGGCAGGGAUUGUUCCACUCGCUGUUCCUUUUUCCUAUGCAUAUACUUCUUUGAGACAUAACUUUAAAGAGGCAUAAGGCAUGGGAAAAUGGGGCUGCAGAGGUAUUCCACCCGACUCAGCUCAACCAGCAGCAUUCACUCCUGCAGCCACUUUCAUGAAAGCCUUCCAGCCUGACGUGAAGUUGUGGAGGAAAACGGUUCAACAGCAGCAGAAAACAGGCAAAUUUAAUGCAUGUCUGCAAUCUGUUGACUCCAAUAACUGCUUUUCUUUUCUAGGAACAAGCUUUUCUUAUGGCUCUGUUUGCUUUUGAUCACUUAUGGAUGAGGAGGUGAUUGUUCUGCAUUCAUCUUGUCUUCUGUUUGUCUCUGUCAUUGUUGCUUUAUUAUUGUCUUAAAUAAAGAACCUGCUUCUCUGAAAGUC
Molecule: long non-coding RNA, 789 nt
Organism: Poecilia reticulata (guppy)
Lineage: Eukaryota; Metazoa; Chordata; Actinopteri; Cyprinodontiformes; Poeciliidae
Source: RefSeq, a predicted model, not a curated record